RNAcentral lists this ribosomal RNA (1953 nucleotides) under human gut metagenome. RNAcentral describes it as "bacterial LSU rRNA". It matches the Rfam family "Bacterial large subunit ribosomal RNA", at positions 3 to 1989 of the family's 2925-position model. The record is from RNAcentral.
UUAAGCUAUAAAGAGCGCAGGGUGGAUGCCUUGGCACUAAGAGCCGAUGAAAGACGUGAUAAGCUGCGAAAAGCUUCGGGGAGGAGCAAAUAUCCUUUGAUCCGGAGAUAUCUGAAUGGGGAAACCCGGCUGAGCAAACCUCAGUCACUGCAUGGUGAAUCCAUAGCCAUGCAGAGGGAACCCGGUGAACUGAAACAUCUAAGUAGCCGGAGGAAGAGAAAGAAACAUCGAUUCCCAAAGUAGCGGCGAGCGAAAUGGGAAGAGCCCAAACCAGCGUGCGUGCAUGCUGGGGUUAAGGACUGCAAACGUGAACCGAUUUGUUAGUGGAACUGUCUGGGAAGUCAGGCCAUAGAGGGUGAAAGCCCCGUACACGAAAACAAUAGGAAGCAGCAGGAUCCAGAGUACCACGAGACACGAGAAACCUUGUGGGAAGUCGGAGGGACCACCCUCCAAGGCUAAAUACUCCUUAGUGACCGAUAGCGCAUAGUACUGUGAAGGAAAGGUGAAAAGGACCCCGGGAGGGGAGUGAAAAAGAACCUGAAACCCUGUGUUUACAAGCUGUGGAAGCACGUUAAGGUGCGACCGCGUACUUUUUGUAGAACGGUCCGGCGAGUUGCCGGUACUGGCAAGGUUAAGAGCUGAAGGCUCGGAGCCGAAGGGAAACCAAGUCUCAAAUGGGCGUCAAGUCAGUACAGGCAGACCCGAAACCGGGUGACCUAUCCAUGUCCAGGUUGAAGCGGAAGUAAAAUUCCGUGGAGGACCGGAUCCACAUCCGUUGAAAAGGGUGGGAAUGAGGUGUGGAUAGGGGAGAAAUUCCAAUCGAACCCGGAGAUAGCUGGUUCUCCUCGAAAUAGCUUUAGGGCUAGCCUCAUAUUAGUUUAGCGGAGGUAGAGCACUGAAUUCCUAAGGGGGCGUCAAAGCUUACCAAGGGAUAUCAAACUCCGAAUGCCGCAUAAAUGAUGUAUGGGAGUCAGACUGCACGAGAUAAGUUGGGUAGUCAAAAGGGAAAGAGCCCAGACCUACAGCUAAGGUCCCAAAGUGUGUGUUAAGUGGAAAAGGAUGUGGGAUUUCAAAGACAACUAGGAUGUUGGCUCAGAAGCAGCCACACAUUCAAAGAGUGCGUAAUAGCUCACUAGUCGAGAGGUCCUGCGCCGAAAAUGUCCGGGGCUGAAACACAACACCGAAGCUUAGGAAUGUAUGUAAGUACAUUGGUAGAGGAGCAUUCUCAGGACGGAGAAGCGGUACCGAUAAGGAGCCGUGGAGUGCUGAGAAGAGAGAAUGCCGGAAUGAGUAGCGAGAUGGAGGUGGGAAUCCUCCAGGCCGAAUAUCCAAGGUUUCCAGAGUAAAGCUGAUCUGCUCUGGGUAAGUCGGGGCCUAAGGCGAGGCUGAGAGGCGUAGUCGAUGGACAACAGGUUGAAAUUCCUGUACCAUGUAUCAUCAGAACUGUGGGGACACAGAAGGACAACACAUCCCGGGAAUGGGAAUACCGGGGCAAGCGAGGUAGGAGUACGGUUGGCAAAUCCGCCGUGCAAUCCGAAGACGUGACGCGCAGCGAACUAAAGUAGCGAAGUGUGUGAUUCCGGCUGUCAAGAAAAGCCGCUAUUGUGUGAUACAUGCCCGUACCGUAAACCGACACAGGUAGAUGAGGAGAGAAUCCUAAGGCCGGCGGGAGAAGCAUUGUUAAGGAACUCGGCAAAAUGACCCCGUAACUUCGGGAGAAGGGGUGCCACAGAGAUGUGGCCGCAGAGAAUAGGCUCAAGCAACUGUUUAGCAAAAACACAGGUCUAUGCAAAACCGUAAGGUGAGGUAUAUGGGCUGACGCCUGCCCGGUGCUGGAAGGUUAAGAGGAGAGGUUAGAGCAAUCGAAGCUUUGAAUUUAAGCCCCAGUAAACGGCGGCCGUAACUAUAACGGUCCUAAGGUAGCGAAAUUCCUUGUCGGGUAAGUUCCGACCC